This 1496-nucleotide ribosomal RNA is filed under the name Salmonella enterica subsp. enterica serovar Minnesota. Its description in RNAcentral is "partial 23S ribosomal RNA". It matches the Rfam family "Bacterial large subunit ribosomal RNA", at positions 711 to 2187 of the family's 2925-position model. Lineage: Bacteria; Pseudomonadati; Pseudomonadota; Gammaproteobacteria; Enterobacterales; Enterobacteriaceae. The record is from RNAcentral.
AGACCCGAAACCCGGUGAUCUAGCCAUGGGCAGGUUGAAGGUUGGGUAACACUAACUGGAGGACCGAACCGACUAAUGUUGAAAAAUUAGCGGAUGACCUGUGGCUGGGGGUGAAAGGCCAAUCAAACCGGGAGAUAGCUGGUUCUCCCCGAAAGCUAUUUAGGUAGCGCCUCGUGAAUUCAUCUCCGGGGGUAGAGCACUGUUUCGGCUAGGGGGCCAUCCCGGCUUACCAACCCGAUGCAAACUGCGAAUACCGGAGAAUGUUAUCACGGGAGACACACGGCGGGUGCUAACGUCCGUCGUGAAGAGGGAAACAACCCAGACCGCCAGCUAAGGUCCCAAAGUCAUGGUUAAGUGGGAAACGAUGUGGGAAGGCCCAGACAGCCAGGAUGUUGGCUUAGAAGCAGCCAUCAUUUAAAGAAAGCGUAAUAGCUCACUGGUCGAGUCGGCCUGCGCGGAAGAUGUAACGGGGCUAAACCAUGCACCGAAGCUGCGGCAGCGACACUCAGGUGUUGUUGGGUAGGGGAGCGUUCUGUAAGCCUGUGAAGGUGGCCUGUGAGGGUUGCUGGAGGUAUCAGAAGUGCGAAUGCUGACAUAAGUAACGAUAAAGCGGGUGAAAAGCCCGCUCGCCGGAAGACCAAGGGUUCCUGUCCAACGUUAAUCGGGGCAGGGUGAGUCGACCCCUAAGGCGAGGCCGAAAGGCGUAGUCGAUGGGAAACGGGUUAAUAUUCCCGUACUUGGUGUUACUGCGAAGGGGGGACGGAGAAGGCUAUGUUGGCCGGGCGACGGUUGUCCCGGUUUAAGCGUGUAGGUGUGUGUUCCAGGUAAAUCCGGUUCACUUUAACACUGAGGCGUGACGACGAGGCACUACGGUGCUGAAGCAACAAAUGCCCUGCUUCCAGGAAAAGCCUCUAAGCAUCAGGUAACAUCAAAUCGUACCCCAAACCGACACAGGUGGUCAGGUAGAGAAUACCAAGGCGCUUGAGAGAACUCGGGUGAAGGAACUAGGCAAAAUGGUGCCGUAACUUCGGGAGAAGGCACGCUGACACGUAGGUGAAGUGAUUUACUCAUGGAGCUGAAGUCAGUCGAAGAUACCAGCUGGCUGCAACUGUUUAUUAAAAACACAGCACUGUGCAAACACGAAAGUGGACGUAUACGGUGUGACGCCUGCCCGGUGCCGGAAGGUUAAUUGAUGGGGUCAGCGCAAGCGAAGCUCCUGAUCGAAGCCCCGGUAAACGGCGGCCGUAACUAUAACGGUCCUAAGGUAGCGAAAUUCCUUGUCGGGUAAGUUCCGACCUGCACGAAUGGCGUAAUGAUGGCCAGGCUGUCUCCACCCGAGACUCAGUGAAAUUGAACUCGCUGUGAAGAUGCAGUGUACCCGCGGCAAGACGGAAAGACCCCGUGAACCUUUACUAUAGCUUGACACUGAACAUUGAGCCUUGAUGUGUAGGAUAGGUGGGAGGCUUUGAAGUGUGGACGCCAGUCUGCAUGGAGCC